This is a long non-coding RNA of Zingiber officinale, 743 nucleotides long. RefSeq lists it as uncharacterized. The transcript has 3 exons. The record is from RefSeq and is a predicted model, not a curated record. Lineage: Eukaryota; Viridiplantae; Streptophyta; Magnoliopsida; Zingiberales; Zingiberaceae.
AAUACAUUACCGUGCCCUAGCCUCCUUGCCCACACCGAUCCCCACCUCGCGAGCGCCCCCGAUUUCUUCGCCACCGACCUCUCCUCCGUCGAACUCCUUCCUUCCCUCUCCCUCUCGCGAGUUCCCGUGCCCUAGCUCUCACACCGCCGACCUCCCUCCUUCCCCAGCCUCGCGUUUCCCCUCACCAAACCGCCACCUCUGUCCAUAGCACGGGAUCGCGCCGGCGUUGCUCAUCCCGGCGUCGACCAAGCCUUCUUCCCUCUUUUCCUCACGAGUUCCCACAACCGCAUUCGGCGAUCUCUCCUCCUCACGCUAGCACCAGAGAUGCCGCGACGAGCCAACGACCGAUGCCAAUCCUCUUCUCUCCGAGUCGUGCCCUAACUGAUCCAGCAAGUACUCUCCAUAUGUUGGUAUGAGAUCAGGGAGGUUUCCUUUCUAAUUUCUGCAAUGGAAUUGGGCUUAGCGCAUGGAGGACUGACUUUACUCGAUUUCUUUUGACGUUUUGAGUUAGGGAUCCUAUUCUUGACAGUCUCGGCUAGAUGCGAUGGUAUUUAGCUUUCUCCUAGGGUUGUCGAAAGCUUUGGAACAGGUUGUAGGUGCUUUGCGCUUUGAUUGAUAAUGUCUUGCUGCUCUCUGUUGUAAGAACAUGUGAACAAAUUCGGAAGUUUGGAUUUCAAGUCAAGGACGUUAAUUGAGACGAUUGACGUGACGGAGCAUGAUUUGGUUCAGACUAUCUAGUAAAG